This 492-nucleotide ribosomal RNA is filed under the name uncultured bacterium. RNAcentral's name for it is "partial 16S ribosomal RNA". It matches the Rfam family "Bacterial small subunit ribosomal RNA", at positions 28 to 507 of the family's 1533-position model. The record is from RNAcentral.
GAUGAACGCUAGCUACAGGCUUAACACAUGCAAGUCGAGGGGAAACGCCAUCGGAAUCUUGCUUUUGCUUGACCUCCACACGCGCGAGGGAGAGUAACGCGUCUCCCAUCUGCGCCUCACAUGGGAAUAAGCUUGCGGAAGUAAGACUAAUAACCAAUGAUAUCCGACGAAGGCAACGGAAUGGGAUGAUAGUGCUAUCGGUGAUGGAUGGGGAUGCGUCUGAUUAGCUAGUUGGCAGGGUAACGGCCUACCAAGGCAACGAUCAGUAGGCGUUCUGAGAGGCAGGUCCCCCACAUUGGAACUGAGACACAGUCCAAUCUCGGACGGGAGGCAGCAGUGAGGAAUACUGGUCAAUGGGCGAGAGCCUGAACCAGCCAAGUAGCGUGCAGGAAUACGGCCCUAGGGGUUGUAAACUGCUUUUAUAAGAGAAUAAAGUGAGUCACGUGUGACUUUUUGCAUGUACCUUAUGAAUAAGGACCGGCUAAUUCCGUG